RNAcentral lists this ribosomal RNA (253 nucleotides) under uncultured bacterium. RNAcentral describes it as "partial 16S ribosomal RNA". It matches the Rfam family "Bacterial small subunit ribosomal RNA", at positions 524 to 776 of the family's 1533-position model. The record is from RNAcentral.
UACAGAGGUCUCGAGCGUUGUUCGGAUUCAUUGGGCGUAAAGGGCGCGUAGGCGGCGGGGUAAGUCUGGUGUGAAAUCUCGGAGCUCAACUUCGAAAUUGCACUGGAUACUGCUCUGCUAGAGGGCUGGAGAGGAGAUCGGAAUUCACGGUGUAGCAGUGAAAUGCGUAGAUAUCGUGAGGAAGACCAGUGGCGAAGGCGGAUCUCUGGACAAAUCCUGACGCUGAGGCGCGAAGGCUAGGGGAGCAAACGGG